RNAcentral lists this long non-coding RNA (226 nucleotides) under Hordeum vulgare. RNAcentral's name for it is "long non-coding RNA (HVUL_LNC017467)". Lineage: Eukaryota; Viridiplantae; Streptophyta; Magnoliopsida; Poales; Poaceae. The record is from RNAcentral.
AUGUGGUAGUUUUUGUCAAUUUACUUUAGUACACGGGAAGUUUCAUUAGAAAAAUCUCAGAAUCACAAGGGCGUGCAUAUACAAGAAGAGCUGCCUGUGCUCCAAGGAUCAAAAUUCAGUCAACAGAUUCAAAGCACGCUUCUUCGCCGGCACAAACAUGGAUUGGUCGCUCCGACGACAAACUACGAGCCAUUUAAUCUUCUUUACUUACUACCAAAGAUUACGA